Molecule: long non-coding RNA, 308 nt
Filed under: Lathyrus oleraceus (garden pea)
Lineage: Eukaryota; Viridiplantae; Streptophyta; Magnoliopsida; Fabales; Fabaceae
Description: Pisum sativum (pea) long non-coding RNA (PSAT_LNC023469)
Source: RNAcentral
UGGGUGUGAGAGGUCAUGAGUUUGAAUCCCACUUUUAGAUUUUUUUCUCUUUUAUUUGUUUUUUCUUUAUUUUUAACUUUUCUAUUUAUUUUCAAAACUACAAAAUAAUCACAAAAAUUACAUUUUUCAUUUAUUUUUAAGGAUUAAUUACUAUGCACUGUCAGUGUAAAUUUACACUGUCGAUUCAUCAUCAUCACCCGUUUGCAUUACUUUAUAGAUUUUUAAAAUAAAAGUCAAACUUAUUUCAAUAUCCAACGUCUAGGAUUAACUGACGGUGUAAAAUCCCUUUACGUGUAUUUCAAUUAAAU